This 512-nucleotide long non-coding RNA is filed under the name Olea europaea subsp. europaea. Lineage: Eukaryota; Viridiplantae; Streptophyta; Magnoliopsida; Lamiales; Oleaceae. The record is from RNAcentral.
AAGUCAUGCAUCCGUUGGAAUGAAGUUCACCAUCUCUAUAAAUAUCCCGAUUCAAUCGUUCUUUCAUUCAUUCAUUUCGGCUUCUCUCCUACAAAACAUACAGAGAUCAUUCCCUUACUUAUUUCUGUGUCAGAAGAGCUCGUUCAGUUGAGCAGCCAUGUUGACUCCUAAUGCGGAUAUUGCUGAAGUUUACGUAUUGAGGAAACUCCAUAAAGAGAAGAUGAAGAGACUCGAAAAGAAGACACGUCAAGAAAAUGCGUUAAAAAAGGAUGAUCAUUGUGCUGGAUCUGGUUGCUUCUCCAUUUUGUUCAAGAAAGUACAUCCAUCUUCUGUGCCAGAAUAAGAUUCUUAAAUCGACCAAGCUCUUCUCUGUGUGUGUGAGAGAGGGGGGGGGGGGGGGGGUUUAUUAGAAUGUAAUUGUUUAUCUUCUCUGGUUCCAUUUGAUGGGAGUCAGGAGGAGAUUUGAAUGUAUGCUUUUCUGCAAACGAUAUUCCAUUUGCUGUAAUUUUUAC